AGAAUCAACGCUGGCGGCGUGCCUAACACAUGCAAGUCGAACGAGAAAGUGGAGCAAUCCAUGAGUAAAGUGGCGACCGGGUGAGUAACACGUGACUAACCUACCUUCGAGUGGGGGAUAACCUCGGGAAACCGGGGCUAAUACCGCAUAAUGCCUUCGGGUUAAAGGAGCAAUUCGCUUGAAGAGGGGGUCGCGGCUGAUUAGCUAGUUGGCGGGGUAACGGCCCACCAAGGCGAUGAUCGGUAGCCGGCCUGAGAGGGCGCACGGCCACACUGGAACUGAAACACGGUCCAGACUCCUACGGGAGGCAGCAGUGGGAAUUUGCGCAAUGGGGGAAACCCUGACGCAGCAACGCCGCGUGGAGGAUGAAGUCCCUUGGGACGUAAACUCCUUUCGAUCGGGACGAUGAUGACGGUACCGGAAGAAGAAGCACCGGCUAACUCUGUGCCAGCAGCCGC
Molecule: ribosomal RNA, 458 nt
Filed under: uncultured bacterium
Lineage: Bacteria
Description: SSU rRNA
Rfam family: Bacterial small subunit ribosomal RNA
Source: RNAcentral